GCCGGGCGCGGUGGCUCAAGCCUGUAAUCCCAGCACUUUGGGAGGCCGAGACGGGCGGAUCACGAAGUCAGGAGAUCGAGACCAUCCUGGCUAACACGGUGAAACCCCGUCUCUACUAAAAAUUACAAAAAACUAGCCAGGCGAGGUGGUGGGCGNNNNNNNNNNCGCCCACCACCUCGCCUGGCUAGUUUUUUGUAAUUUUUAGUAGAGACGGGGUUUCACCGUGUUAGCCAGGAUGGUCUCGAUCUCCUGACUUCGUGAUCCGCCCGUCUCGG
RNAcentral lists this signal recognition particle RNA (275 nucleotides) under Chlorocebus sabaeus (green monkey). RNAcentral describes it as "Metazoan signal recognition particle RNA". It matches the Rfam family "Metazoan signal recognition particle RNA". From Rfam's summary of the family: The signal recognition particle (SRP) is a universally conserved ribonucleoprotein. It is involved in the co-translational targeting of proteins to membranes. Lineage: Eukaryota; Metazoa; Chordata; Mammalia; Primates; Cercopithecidae. The record is from Rfam by way of RNAcentral.